Molecule: long non-coding RNA, 2518 nt
Organism: Pangasianodon hypophthalmus (striped catfish)
Lineage: Eukaryota; Metazoa; Chordata; Actinopteri; Siluriformes; Pangasiidae
Exons: 3
Source: RefSeq, a predicted model, not a curated record
UUGUCAGCGGAAUUUUGAGAAAUUAUACCGGGAGAGAGAGAGCUGCGAGGACUUGGGUGGAAGUGGGCAGGUGUUGUAACUGGAGUUUGAAGAGCUCAGAGAAGAAUGGCGAUAAGCAUUUAAAAAAAUCUUCAAGAAUGGACUCUGCUUUUUCAUUAGUAGUCACCAGUUUUAUGGUUCAAGGGAAACGGAACUAAGAAAGAACUCAACAGAGAUUGUGCUAUGUGAUGCAGGUGUAAAGAACAAGGUAAGUACAGUUCACUGUACAAAACUUUGGUCAACUUCUGUUUUUAGAUAAUUUAACCCAUUUUAUUCUAAUUUAUGGAAGAUCAAAUGCUAACACUUGCUUUCUCAGACUCAAGUGACUCCCAAACGUGAAUAACUGUGGCAUCUUUGGGAUUCAAACUCUCUAUCUACUGACAGUGAGAAUAAUUUGUUCUCUGUCUCUUUUUUCAGGAAUCUUGGUAAUGAUGUUGCUGCUCAUUACAUGUCUGUAUGUCCUCUUCCUCUCCUUCCCUCUUCCCUCUGGCUGGUUUUGUGGAACAUUCAACGCUGUCGGGUUACAAUCAACAUUCAUUGCUGUCGGUGGAUUUUAGUUUGUGAAAGUCACUGAACAAUGAGUGUAACUGUGCCUGAGUUUCCUGCCUCGCCAUGGGAGAAAGAGACACACUACACAUUCACCCUCUGGGUCCUGCCACCCCCCCCUUUUUAUUUCUGUAAGGCUUGCUUCGUUGUUCUCUCUCUUUAUUGCUCUUCCUCACAGAUCUCAAGUUUUUAAGGGAGACACAAAUAGAACCAAAUGUGCUGCCUGCCUCAUGGGAUUAAUUGGAGGUUGUGUGUGCAGACACGUUUGUGUCUAGCAGAUGGAAGGAAGCGGAAGAUGAAUGUGUAAUCAUCUGGAUGUUCUUCUCAUUUAGCUGUUUUGUUACUUAAAUUAUAUGCUGCACUCGCUGCAGGCCGGAAUGGGCUUAAAUACUGCAUUUUGGAUAUGUGUGUGUGGGGGAUGGGAUCUGGAUGAAUGGUUUGCCAGUUCAUGAAUGUUUCCUUUUGCGUGUUCUUCACAGAACAAAUCCCGGCCCUAACCAUCAGUUUUCUGAAUUAUCUGGACACUAAUGUGAAAUGUUCCUCUCCUACUUAUAAACACAGAAACCCAUUGGGGUAAAGCAAUGCAGCAAGUUGUUCAACAAAAACAAUCAAUUCAAUAUUAAGACAAAGAAAUAUUAGCUGAUUUGCUCUCUGAAAAUCUAAGGGAAAUGCAAAUCCAGAAGUAAAUCACAUGCCUGUCUGAUGGGCACAUUGGCCAAAGCGUGCUGAUUUUAAUGUAUUAAUGGAAACUGUGCUAAGAGCUGUGCUAACACCCUAGUAAAAAUGAGAGCAUUUAUUUAUUUCUGUUAUCCUCUGGCUGUUGAAUAUUGAUGGAAAAAGGUCAUAACAUUGUUAUAUAGUUUAUUACACAAGACUCUUGUCUUCACCCCGUGUCUGUAUGGAUUUCUUUCCACCUCUGAAACUAUGCCGGUAGGUGGAAUGGCUACACUAAAUUUCUGCUAUGUGUGAAUGAUUCUGUAAUGUUUGUGUCUACAUAAACAUUUUGUAAGUGAGAUACUGUCUGCAAAAAAUUUGCAUUGUCUAAUUAUUUAUUUGAAUAUUUUGUAGUAACUUGAACACCUUUUGAAAAUAUUUGCUAGAUCACUGAAAUCUACGUUAGACACCUCUAAUCCUAGAGCCACUUAACUUUUGCUUUUGAAGUACAACAAGCUGAGCAAUGUAGAACUGCAACAACUAAUCGACAAAAUCGAUAAAAAUCAAUGAUAGAAAUAGUUGGCAACGAAUUUCAUUAUCAUUUAGUUGAAAUGUGUUAUGAAGCACACUAAAAACACAUUUGACUGAAAUGGCGGAGCAGGAAGAACAGUACAACUUUCUCUACGGUAUGGAAACUUGCAGUACACUACCCUGCUGGCCUCAUGACAUAAGUUGUGUUUUAAUGUGAGUGAUAUCAUCAUUCAUUUGUGAGAAUGUGAGAAACAGUGGAAUCGUGAUGUCCCUGCUUGAACCAUCCGCCUUGUAUUGAGUUUUCUGACCUUAUUCGGUUUUCUGGCCGUAUCACACAUUUAUGGUCAUAUGUCUAACUUUCCAAGUCUAUCAGAAAAUAUUAUUUCACUCUACUUUGGUCAAAUCAUGAAUAGUUUGUAUAAAAACUCGAUGGGUUGAAAAUGAACACGGCCUCAAAUUAAUAAUUAGACUGCAAAACAAAUGUUUUAUAUAUAAGACAAGCAUCUUUGGAAUAUCCUGAACAAAGAAGUCCGAUCCGUGGAGGCCCCACCUCACAACCUACAGGACUUAAAGGAUCUUGUGCUAACAUCUUGGUGCCAGACACUACAGCACACCUACAGAGGUCUUGUGGAGUCCAUACCUCGACGGAUCAGAGCUGUUUUGGCGGCAAAAGAGGGACCUACACAAUAUUAGGCAGGUGGUUUUAAUGUUAUGGCUGAUUGGUGUGUGUGUGUGUGUGUGUGUGUGU